GGUUGGGUUGAGACACAUUCAGGAGCAAGACAUGAGGUUAAUAAUUAUCAAAUAUAUGGCAAUGCUAGACUUUAGUUGAUCAUCGUGCUUCUGGAAAAUAACAAAAGUUGAGAUAUCUGUUCACCAUUUUGUGUGUCCAAGGACCACCUACUUUUUACAUAUGACAAGAACUACCCACCUCCACUCUUCAGGACAGAACAUGCUGGAGAAAAGAGUUACAAUGAGAAAAUAUAUGGGAACAAAAUACCUAUGCAAUGCAGAAGUCUGCAUAACUAAACCACUCAGAGGAAAAAAAUUGCCAUUUCAGGACACCUCCUACAUCUGAAGAAAUAUGUAUUGAUCUUGAAAUAUUUUUCUCCUCCAAAUAAAAGUCAGUAUGAUAACAA
Molecule: long non-coding RNA, 386 nt
Filed under: Pongo abelii (Sumatran orangutan)
Lineage: Eukaryota; Metazoa; Chordata; Mammalia; Primates; Hominidae
Description: lincRNA
Source: RNAcentral